CCUGCUGUCUGUGGAUCCAAAUGUAGAACUCUCCUCUCCCUCCCCAGCACCAUGUCUACCUGUGUGCCACCAUUCUCCCUACUACAAUAACAAUGGACUAGACUUCUGAACUAUUCUGAAUUAUUCAUUCUUAUUGUAGCAGCAAAAAAGAAACCAAAUGGAAAUAAAAGCAUUCAAGAGAAAGUGGACUUUGAAUUGCAACUGUUAAACAGAAGCAAAUCAGCACAUUUCUCAAAAGUCAGCCAAGAAAAUUGUCCUUGCAGUGCAUGAGAACACAGAGAUCUUCAACUGGCCGGUCUGAAAAGAACAAGAGGCAUUGGAAUGCUUAGUGCUUAAAUGAAUUGAUUCCUUAAACUUUGGGGCAAGAGUGUAAAACAGAUGAGCUAUUGAUGCUGGAGUGCUCCACAGUCCUGUAUGUAUCCUCUUCAUUUUGACCAGCUGUAAGUUCUACAUUAACCACCAUCCACUGCACAAACACAUUUCUCUGAUGA
This is a long non-coding RNA of Peromyscus eremicus (cactus mouse), 491 nucleotides long. RefSeq lists it as uncharacterized. The record is from RefSeq and is a predicted model, not a curated record. NCBI's taxonomy places the organism in Eukaryota, Metazoa, Chordata, Mammalia, Rodentia, Cricetidae. The transcript has 4 exons.